Molecule: long non-coding RNA, 10187 nt
Organism: Varanus komodoensis (Komodo dragon)
Lineage: Eukaryota; Metazoa; Chordata; Lepidosauria; Squamata; Varanidae
Exons: 6
Source: RefSeq, a predicted model, not a curated record
CGGCGGCGGCGGCCAUGGGGCCGUGUGUGCUGGCUGCGCUUUCCGGCGGACCUCUCGUCCUGCUCGCAUGCGGAGCAGCCGCUGAGCGGCAAGGCGAUGCGUCGGGCAGCGGGGAAACCCGCGACAGGCGCUUUCAGGGAGAGCGUGCAGCAGAGGCUGGCUGGCUUGAGCAAGCCGCAGCCGAGCUCUUCCCCAGCGGACCAUGCGUAGUCUGACCGUCCGGUUGGAGUUAGGUGGGCUUCUUAGGUAAGGUAAGCGCGACUGUGUCCAGCCGAUAUUUCUGGCAGCCGGUCUCCCCGCCCUUCGACCUGGAAGGUAAGGACUUACGAGCAACUUCUUUUGUCUGGCAAUGCACACGUGUGUUUGGCACAUACGGGCAGAAGUGACUUUCUGUAAUAGGAAGGGAUAGAAAUCUUUAAAUAAGUGUAACCGAUGCAGCUUUUUUAGGCAUAAAGGUUCAAGUAAAGGGGAGCCCUCACGAGGACUCGCUGCUUGGGCCGCUCUUUUGAUGAUGCUUAUAUAAAUUGGCACUCCUGGGAUACAUUUUGACUGUCAGGCAUCGCAGCGCAGACUUAAUGUAGGCAGUACUUAUACUGCGAACGUGCCGCCGAGACGCUUCAUCUCUGUCUAGAUCAGUGGAAGAAGUGGAGCGGACGCUUCUAGUGAAAACGAUUCCAGAUUUAAUCUGAUCCCUCUGCGGUGCUAGGUUGGGGAAGUUGCCGGUGUGUAGACGGUACUGAGUGAGAUGGAUCAAAUGUCUCCCUGGGUUUAAGGACAACCUUCCUUGCGCAGGUAUGGCGGAGUUUAAUUUUCCUAGGAAGUUGAACCAUUAUCCUGCUCUUCAUAGAUAUAUGCCUGAGCAAGGAAAGAUUUGCCUCCCCUUAUGAAUUAUUCUUGCCUUGUUACGCAUGUGGCUAGAGCGGUGCUUUCAUCCUUUGUGCUCAGUAUGUGAAGAUAGUAAUAUUUACAUCGCGGUGUCAAUAUUUCAUGGCUAACAUGAAUAGGGAGGGGUAUAGUGUACCAAAUGUAUGUGUUGUACAAUGAGUGGUGUUUUUAAAUAAAUACUGCGAUGAUGAGUGUGUUAUCUGUAGGAUUGUCAGUGUCCUGAUCCUGAGGGGCUCUUGUGCAUUUAAUAUUUGCAUAGAAAGGGCCAAGGGAUUGGGCAGCACUACAAAAAGGGAAGCUGCAUCUACAGCAUUUAUGCCAGUGUGGCGUAACAGGACUCAGAAGGUCGCUUGAGCCUGUGCUUAACUGUGAAACUCCCUGAGUGACUGGCCCAACCACUGACUCAGCCAAACCAGCUCAAAGGGAUGUUGUGAAGAUAAUACAGGGAGGAGCAAGAGGAGGAAGGCUUGGAAUCCUCAUAAGGGGGAAAACUGGGAUAUAAAUAUAAUGUAAUAAUUAUAAUAUUUUGAAAAGAGAUGCCCUUUUACUUGGCCAGGAGUCUUCCCAAAAAGAACCAGCUACUGGGCAUUGCCAACACAUAUUGAGAAGCAUGAGCUACAGUCGGCACAGAGCCGGUUCUCUCAAGAUGUGUUGAGCCUCGUCUCCAGCCAGCAGUGGCCAUUCUAGUCUGAUACAUCUUGGGACAGAAGUGAUUUAGACCCUAUUUGACCUAUUUAAAGCAAUUUUGCUAUACUGUGUAGCCAAAAAGAUUCUCAGAGCUGUGCACAGAUGCUCUUUUAAAAAAAAAUCCAAAGCAACAAAGUAUGACAGGCGCUGCACUCAUGUAUACAGUCUAAAAUAAUGUGCAGGGAAGAAAAGGGGGAAGCGGAGAGAAAAGGAAAACGGGGAAGUUUAGGCACCAGUUCAGAAACUGUAGAGUUCUCAUAAUGAUCUGAUGAGAUGGGAACAGUUCAGGGAGAAGAGAGCCAGUGAAGCCCAUCUUUUAGCUUCCCUUUUGCUUCCUCAGUUAAGCUGAUAAAAUUACUGCUGUCAGAAUAUUCUGACAGCUGCAGAAUAUUUCUCCUAGUAAUUAAUGAAUCUUGCAUGCAGAUUCUGUACAGCUUGAAGUGCCUGAUCCUGCCUAAUCUUGGAAGCUGAGUAGGGUCAAGCCUGGUUCAUAACUUAAAUGUUGUAAACCACCCAGAGAGCUUUUGGCUACAAACGGUAUGGAAAUGUAAUGUAGUAAUGAUUCCUUUCUAUUUAUUUAUAGUAUUUAUAUCUCACCUUUCCCCACAAGGAUCCCAAGCAGCUUACACAAGUAACUCCAUUUUUUCCUCACAACAACCCUCUGAGGUAGGUUAUGUGGCACAUCAGCGAUCGGGCCAAAGUCACCCAGAGAGUUUCACAGCAGAAUGAGAAUAAGAAUCCAGGCCUCCAGACUGGCCCAACGUCAUCCAGAGAACCCCCUAAGCCUCUCCUAAGACAAUAUAGUGACAAAACCCAUCCAAGAUCUCAUGUGAUCUAUGUCAGCAGACAGUUAUCAACUUGUAUUGUUAUAUCUGUAUCCUAGCCUUUUGCCCAGUGAGCUCAGCAUGUUUGUGCAAGUUGUUAUCUCCCUCUCCCACUCUCCUACUCCUAUUUCAAGCUAACCUCCUAACCUUGAAGAGUAGGUUAGCUUGAAAUACCAUGAUUUGCCCAAGAUUAACCAGUGUACCCUCUUCAGCUGAGUGCCGUCUCCCCAGUCCCAGUCUGAAGUGCUAGCUGCUUUUUAUGAAUGUAGAAAUAAUCUGUAUGUGGACAUUGAGAGUGUUUAGGAAAAUAACUCCAGUAUGGAUUUUCAUUAUUUUAAACCAGCACUACCCAUUCAAACAGGGGUCCCCAAACUCUUUUUAGAUCUGUGAGCACACUUGGAAACUUGUGGGCAGCACCACAAAAUGGCUCCCAUGAGGAUGUGGCUAGUCACAAAAUGGCUGUUUUGAGGGCCUGGCUAGUCAGGAAGGGGUGGAGGGUGAUAAAUAACAAGGCUGCAAGCUGAGAGGGAUGGAGAAAUGGAAGGGCUGCUUUCUGGCCUGCCCUCUCUUCUGCCCACAUAGAUAUUUCUUUUGCAUGUACAUUCUCUCCUCAGUCCUACUUCUUGUCUUCCUUCUUGCCUCCCCAGCUUUGAGCCUCACUUCUUCUGCCCUGCUCUCCCAUUGUUCCUCUCUCACAACCCGCCCACCUCUUUAUCUCAUCACUUUCCCCCACUCCUAGCCUCACUCUGUCCCCUCACUCUACCCCUUAGCUCUUGAGUGGGGCAGGAACAUGCCACAAGGCAAGUCAGCAGCAGCUUCAGGAACAGAAGAAGAACCUGGCCUCCUAAGCUUUUCCAUUUUAAAAAAUUAAAGGGGACAUGGAGCAAAGCGCUUUGUGGAAACCAUUGGGAGGUAGAUGGCUGGGUACCCCUGCAUUAAGGGGUUUCUUGUGACACAAUUUAUUAGAGAAAGAAAGGCAACUGGGAACCCUCAGAACUCUCAACCCAGCUAAGUAAAAAGCUUGGCUGUGUUGGAGAUGAUACGAUUUGUAAUCCAACACAUCUGGAGCAUGCCAGGUUGGGAAAGCCUGCAGUAGAUUAAAAAGUGUGUGUGUGCUCUUGACAGUUUUCCCCAGGGUGCUGCUCUUGAGAUAUUGUGAGAUUAUGUAAUCACUGGGUUCAUCCAGUUCAAGGGUUGAGUGUGUAUGAAGGUUGAAAAUGGGUUUUUAUGUUGUCCGAACCCAGUCAAGAUAACAAACCAUAAUGAAAAAUCCACAGUUCACAACCCAACAAUAAACUUUGAGUUCUGUUCAUGGGUUCUUUUUUUAACAAUUUAUACCUUGUUGGUAUAGCCUUGUUCAGAAAACAUAAGCAGCAUUUUAUUCCAAAUGCAGUUCAAUGGCAACCCAUAUUCAACGUGUUGUCUGAACCCAGUCGUUGUUAGCUGUGGGUUGUUUCAAAGCAUGUGAGAGUACAACUUCAGAGCUGAGGGAGAAACAUAGUUUGUUUGUUUGUUUUUGGAUUAAAAGUAGGUUGUUUCUUCCUCAACAGCCCAGACUUCUGGGUUCAGAUGUCACAAAGAACAACCCAAGAGCACCUUAUGCAAAGCAGAUAUGGAUGAGUAGUUUGGAGCCAACACGUUCACUUGGUUCUGCAUGUGUUUGCGUAACUCCUAGCUAACAAACCAUGGCUUAUUUAAUCAAACAAAUCAGGUCAUAGUAUAAAUAGCUGUUUUUAAUUGAACUUGCCAGCAUGUUGUUAAUAUUCACUUGGCACAUGCAAAAGUCCUCAGGUGAUGAGCUGCUUCUCAUGGUGUGCAGAUGGUUUAAUUGCUUACCUACGAAAUUUUCUUUUAAUAGGGAAGUUGCUAUUUAUGGAUGCAAGAGAAGAGAAGGAGGUAACCCUAAUCUUUAAGCAGGUUGCUCCGGGUGACAUUUCCUCUUCCCAGGGCAGCUUAGGCUGUGAGCACCAUGCCCCUUCCCCGAGGUGACUGACCACCGGAGCUGAGGCUGGCUUCUGCGGGACUCUGUACGUGCCACAAGGAUCAACAUCCCUGUUGUGAAUUCCUCGCACCUUAGCAGAACCCACAGGGGCUUGUGCCCGUGGAGCUUUUCUUCCCAGGGCCACGUUUAGCAAUGCAGGGAUACCCAUAGCAUGACGACAGAAAGAGCUGGGCUGAGUGUGCUUCAGUUUUGCAUGCUCUCCUCUUACUCUGUUUUUGUGACAAUUCUUGUGGUCUGUUCCUGUGUGUUCAGAUUAUAAAGCAAGAGCACAUUCUUGGGAACUCCUUAAUGGUGAAGGCAGAAAUGAUCUGUCAUGUGUUCCCAAGCAUGCGCUUUUGCUUCAGUGGCUCAGACCAAGGGUCAGGGUUCCUCACAAAAGUCCCAGCACCCAGCAGGCACCUGGUGGUCCCCAAAAAUGACCUGGGCUCUGGUGCUGGGAGAUACUUCCCUAGCCAGCCUUACGCAUCCCACACCAAACCCUGUAUGUGAUCUCUCGCCAGUGGCGCCCCCAGGGAAACCAGUCUUCCAUCACUGAGUUUUGGAGCCUAAGAGGAGUCCUGUUGCAUUAGGCUGAAGGCCUGUUUGGUCCAGUGUCCCGUUUCCCUCCAUAGCUGGCACAAUCCCUGCAGGACGUACACAGACGAGGCAUGAGCAUAUUAACAUCCUCUUGCUCAUACUCCCAGUCACUGCUUAGCGAGCCUAGGGAAGUUGCUUCUAGAAGAUGUAGUGGUGGCCACCGAAUCAGAAGACUUUGAAAGGGGUUUGUACAAGCUCAUGGAGGACAUGUCCUUCGUUGGUUGUUUGCUAUCCGGUAUCGGGCAGUAUGCCUAUAUAGAGCAAUUGCUGGGGAUCAUGGGCCCAGGCCUGAUCCUCUCACCCAUCUGCUCCAGCAUUCUCUUCCCAAAGUGACCCACACGACACUCCCAAGCAGGACAUGAGUGCAACAGCCCCAUCUUGCCUGUGGUGGACAUAGGUACAUGAUGGACAUUGGCAUGCCACCUGGUGAUGGAGGAGGCCUCUAGCUCUCAGAACUUGUUGCUGGUGGUGGCCUUCUCCCCAAGGACAUGAGAAAUGUCUCCUGGCCUUCUGGCAGGCUCAGGCAGAAAAUGGAUCCUUCCCAUCACCUGAUUUUUUUGACUGGUGAUGCAGAGCGUUGGAGCAGGUCCGGCUGCGAUGUGUCCUGCCACAGGGCCCCUCCCCUCAGUGGCAUUUCUCUGUCCAGAAAGUCGUAACUGGCAGAUGGGGCUUGCCCACGAUGCUGAGAAAAUACUUUGAAUUCCUCGGAGUCAAGCUUCACCUUUUAGGGGUCAGUAGUGAAUUCUUCACACGCUCCAAGAGCUAGCAAAAAAAUUACACAUUCCUUCAUGUCAGCAUUAUAUUUAUGAGCAUGUGGGUGACCGUGUAAUAUGAGCCGAUUCUUAUCGUAUUUCUCUCCCCAGCCGCCUCUCUUCUGAUUUACCAGAGAUCUGGGAGCAGCUGUAGAGACUGAGCUCCUGACACAGCCUGCCUUUGCUGCUCUCUGCAUCGAUGGGUGGUCCGUCCUCAGGGCGGGGGGUCAAUGCGCUGGUGGUGGAAAAGGACCGUGCUGCAGUGGCAGUGGCUGCAUGCCGUGGCCAUUCACCCCACAGCGUGGCCCUUAGCGGUUUAGGCUGCAAGGGAGUAUACCACGAGUGGGGUGCCUGUGUUGUGGUUUGCUGACAUUUGGGCUCAUGAGGAGCAAAACGUGGAAUUGGCCUGUCACAGUAGACCAGCCGUCCCCAAUCUUGGGUGUCCCCCAGAUGUUUUGAGGUUCAGCUCCUAUCAGCCCCACUCAGCAGGGCAAUGGGUCAGGAGCUUUGCUGUAAUCCGAAGCAUCUGGAGGGCACUAGAUUGGGGAAGGCUGGAGCUGGGCUAGGUGGACUGGUGGCUUGACUUGGCGUAAGGGCAGUUCUGUCCACUCCGUGAACAACGAGCUCUGGGUGAUGGGGCUUUUUAGCCUGCAAUCCCCCAUACCUGGAAAUAGCUUCCAUUGAACUCGGUGGCCCUGCUUCUGGGGAGGGUCAUACUGUUAGCAGGCUGAGAUCUGGCAUGUGACCUAAGAGCUGCACAGGUGUGGUCAGGUUGGAGCUCACUGGUGAGUUAAGGAUAGUGCGGAGUGAUAGACACUUGCUUUGCAUGCAGAAAGUUCCAGGUUUGAUCUCCAGCAACUCCCACUUAGGCUGGGAAGGAAACCCUGGAGAACCCCUGCAAGUCAGUGUCAGCAAUGCUGGGCUAGCCGGAGCCAUGUUCUGACUCAGUAUCCUGCAGCAUCUUAUGCUCCUACAUAUAAAGGGUUGGGACUGGAUGGUGAAGUCCAGUUCUCCCUAUUCAACUCUACUGGGGUUUGAGUGUGUGAAUCACACACCCACACCCUGGUGGGGCAGUGGGGAGAAAGCUACCCAUUUGCUUGAUGACGUGGUUGCCCCCUUUGCAGAUUUUUCCACAAAAGUCAGUAGCCCAUUACGAUGUUUACUAGCUCAAACUCCCCCUGCAUCAUUUUAAAAACAUUUUUUCUUUAUUUGUAUGAUUUAUUAUCUGCUUUCCAUUAGAAAAUAUUCCCAAGGUAGGGAAUGCAACUGGAGAUCGGAAGGGGAAAAGGUAGAUGGGACACCCCUGCACAGAGCUGGUUGCUGGGAUUCUUGCACAGGAUGCUGGGCUAGGAUUUUGGUCCCAUCCACCAAGUUAGAUCCUUUGGUCUUCAACAAGGCUGUAUACUUAGGAUCACUUAACACUGAUCAGUGGUGCCUUCUUGUUUAAUGCAACAAAGAGUCUUGGCAUCUUCACCUAGCAUAUUUAUGAUCACCUAAGUUUUCAUGACUGGCUAGGGGGUACAAGAAACUGUAAUCCCAAUAUAUUUGGAGGGCACCAGGUUGGAGAAGCCUGUGCUCGAGUCCCCUUCAUCAGAUGCACAAUUAUCCUGAGUAGAUCAGAAUAUGCGCUCUUUGGUGUAGGUUCAGCUUCUAACUUAGGAUAUCAUCACUUGUCUCUGAUGAAGGGGACUUCAGUCCACAGCAGUAACUUUGAUGGUCUUUAAGAUACCAAAAAGCUGUCUGUUUCUGUUGCAAUCCCUCUGGGAAGCCUUCACUUCUAAGAGAUUUUGAGAGUGUGCUUUUGCUUCACAAAUUAAAAACACAUUGAUAGACUACAGGGCUGUGUGUGAUUGCACACACUGUGCAAGACUGAAGUCAGCCACAUCUGGCUGGAAGGAAGGAAGGAAGGAAGGAAGGAAGGAAGGAAGGAAGGCGAACCAGGUCUUGGUGCGUGGUCAGCUGCAGACCCAGGUAAGUGACGAUUAACAAAGCUGCCUGCAACCAGCUGGAGUCUGAGACUCUUGGCUCCACAGGGUUGGAACUGUGAAUGUUAACCUGAAUGUAUUAUUCCAAACCUCCACAGAGCUUCUUCAAAGCAGAUCCUUCUUUUGAUUGCCGCUGUUGAACCAGUCAUGUGCGUAUGGCCCCUGUUUUCACUGGGAUUUCUUCUGUGUGAUGUUCUUCAAUUAUUUUACUAUUUCCAUGUCCUUUUUGCACAUAGGAGGCUGGCUACUUGACCCACCAGUUUCAGUAGGAUGUGGGGGUCUGGUUUGAAUCCCUCUGAACCCGAAUUAGCCUGUGCUUCCCAUGAGCUGGCUGAGGGUUGGGGGGUUAAAGAGAUGGGGAAACCUACGGCUGAGGUUAUCUUGACAGUAGUGACCUCAGUAUACACUCACCCCAACAUGACAGCAAUUGCAUUGUGUGAAUUAGCAGCAGCCCCUCUGUUUCAGUUUGUAGCCAUGUCGGCCUUCAACUUUCCAACUUGAGGGCCAGUGUGACUGCCCCAAAGUGGGGUGGGGUGACCCCAGAACAACCUAAGGAAGUGGAGCCCCUGUUGAGGGGAAAAUGGGAAACCAGGCCGAGGAACUAGAAUGGAGUGGCUGGAAUCUGAACAGAGAGUUCGCUAUCCUCCUCCAUUUUGUUGCCGGUCUCACAUAUAUCCUGUUUUGCAAAACCGCAAGUGGGGAUCCUGAAUGAAACAUGAACUUUAUACAUGCCCAAGCAGAAUAUCAUUUCUCCUUCAGCUUUUCUCCUUAGGUAAAGAAUUUGGAAUAUCAAAAUUAUGUUGGUCACCCUUCUGUGAUCUUGUGCCUUCAAGAGGUUUUGGAAACUCCCAUCAGCCAAACGUGGGCAAUGGACAGGACUGCUGGGAGUCAUAUUCAAAAUGUCUGGAGGGACCAGACUGGGGAAGGCUGGUGUGGUGUCCUUCCUGUAGGUUUGGAGUAUACAGACAGACUAUCUGGCAAAAUACUACCUGGUGAGCCAAAAGAAGUCCCUGCCCCAUCAUCCCAGGGCUGGGGAACUGGUGAGCCUCUAGGAUGUUGGGGGACUCCGUGUCCCAUGAGACACAGCCCAUGUGGCCAGUGAUCAGGAAUUAUGUAAAUAGUUCAACAACAUCUGGAAGUUCACCUGCUCAACCAACCGCUCUGGAUGAUCAGAGAGAGAGGGCGCAGUCCUGAUCAUGUUACUCAGCAGGAACCCACAGCGCAAGGCGGGACCUCUUCUCUGGUAAAUGAGGCUGGGACUGCAGCUGCAUCUUAUGUCAAAGACAGAAUUCCUCUCCUCCUGCUUUCUCUGCUUUGUCCAGAUGCAACACUGGAACCCUUUCGCCUUUCGGGGCACCGCAGGGAAGUGUCGUGUUCCUGUGAGAAGAGGUGACCUGUCUCUGCGGUCGCAAAAGAAGAUGCUCAUUCUUUUAAUCCAAAGAGAAGAGCAGAUCUAGGGAUGUCUACCACAGAUGAUUGUUCCUGCAACCUGGCACUUUGAAUGUUAUACACAAAUUCCCAGAAUUCCUUGGGGGAAGUGGAAACUGAUUCAGGAUGGAGGGGCUAGAGCAGCAUUGAAGAGAAAUGUAAAGUGUACAGUUGAGGAUGUGUAGCUACCCUGCACCACCUGGUACCCCCAGAUAUUUGGACCACCACUUCCCUCUGCGCCAUGCCUGGAUUCACUCCAUGGAUACUGGAAGCUGCAGUCCACAGCCUCUCAAGGGCACCAGGUAAUGACAAAGACAAGUCUGCAUUGCUUGGCUGGCUAAAAAUCACUGACAGUGCAGCCCCCGCCCCAUGUGAAAUAUAUAGGAAGCCACCUCCCAUGUCCUCCAAAAUCUGUGGCGGGACUGGCUAGGAGAGUGCGGGAGGCAGCACUGAGGCCUGCAGUGAGAAAGGGGAGUCCAGGAAAUCUCCACCUGGGCUUCUGCUAGCAGGAGUGAGUCCUCUUGGCAAAUGGAAGGGAAGAUCACUGGCUGCAGGGGUUGUACAGUUAUCGUUCUGUGUAGCCUGAAGUGCUUGAUCCUGCCUAAUCUUGGAAGCUAAGCAGGAUCGGGCCUGGUUGGAAUCUGGAUGGGUGACCUCGAUGGAGAUGCUGGUAUGAGCAGCUCAAGAACGGGUGUGAUGCCUCGAAAGAAAUGCAAGCUGGAGAGGAGAGUGAAACUCCAAGAAAGGGGCCGCGAUACCUGUCCAGUGGGUAUGGUCCAUGAGAUGGGACACGUCCCAUCCGCACCAAGAGCUGUUGUCCUCCAUUUCCCCUGCAAGGUCCCCCUUGGCUGGCACAUGGGAUCCCUUCUUGCACAUCUGUCUGCCUGCCAUGUUCCUUUCCUUCUCUGCUACUCAGGUGUUCUCUUCCUUCUGACUACCUAGCAAGGACGGUCCUGUGCCUGCCUACACCUGAGCCUUGCUGCCCGCUGUGCUAAAGAAGGAAAUGUGCUCUCUGUAAUGUCAAAUAAAACAGCUCCCAUAAGGUGAA